Molecule: long non-coding RNA, 4799 nt
Filed under: Lupinus angustifolius (narrow-leaved blue lupine)
Lineage: Eukaryota; Viridiplantae; Streptophyta; Magnoliopsida; Fabales; Fabaceae
Description: long non-coding RNA (LANG_LNC000354)
Source: RNAcentral
CCUGUAUUCUCUAACUCGUUUAUUCACAUAUGUUCUAUACAUUGUAUAGGGACAAAACUUAUAAAGAAAAACCAAAAAAGAGAAAUAAAACCAAGACCCUUUUGUAUUUCUUAUCUGUUCAUUCAUCACUUCAUUACAAAAUAUCUAAGCAAAACUUAACUUGAAACCUCAUCCAAAAGCUUGUACCUUCUGACCUUAUUCCUAAAAACAUGUUUGGUUGCACCACCACUUUUGUUUUUGAUAUCUUCUGACUUAGUCCUCCUCAGCUUUUCUUCCAAGGCACCAUUGGUGAUAAUCCUCUUGCGUGUUGAAAUCAAAACUGGUUGAGAUAUUGGUGAUCUUGCCUCUUGUGACUUGUGUAAUUUCAUGGUUGGUUUCUUCUGAAAUUGAAGGGUACUAGUACUCCUUCUUAAUCCAUUCCUGCUUUUUUUAUUCUUAUUGCUAUCAUCAUUACCAAUGUUCCUAUAUGGUGAUGAAGAAUUUGAUGAGUUUGGUGACUUUUCUGAUUCCUUCUGAUACAAACACCAAUUGCAGGUUCCUAAAGACUCUAGUUUAGGGUAAAUAUUACUGCAGUAUCUGCCAAUAUUAACAAUCAAGGGUAGAAUACAAAUUAAGAACCCAUUCCAAUAACAUAGUGAUGAUUUAGCAUUUAAACAUGCCAGGGUGGCAAAUCUGGUAGAUGAUUAAAUUUCUUAACAACAUAACUUAUGUUGUGUAUAUAAAAAUAUUUUGUUGAAAAUGAUAAUAUAAUAAAAAAGAAGGGAGGUGAAAUUUUUGAUACCUGUGCUGAGAUCUGAAUUGACAGACUUUGCAUUGAAAAAGCUGCUUCAAGAGACCCUUGUAGUUCUUCAAUUCUCAUUCUCCCUGAUUCUUCAAUUGCCACCACAACAUGAUCAAACUUGGGAGUCACGGUUCUCAAGACUUUCUCAACAAUUGCAGCAUCCUCCAUUCUUUCACCACACGACUUCAUUCCAUUCACAUGAGUUAUGAUUCUUGUGAAGAAAUCUGCAAUUCUUUCUCCCUCAUCCAUUUGCAUAAGCUCAUACUGCCUCCUCAUUGUUUGUAACCGAAUUUUCUUCAACUGAGCAGCCCCUGCAUAAUGCUUUUCCAACACAUCCCAAGCCUCCUUUGCUGUUGCAGACCCUGCAAUCAACUCAAAAUGGGCAUUGUCCACUGCUUGGUGAAGGAGACAGAUUGCUUUACAAUCUCUCCUUUUGUUCUGUUUGUAAGCAUUUCUCUGUGCUUCUGUUGCUCCUUCUUCUAAUUCUGGCAAUCCUUCCUCUACAAGAUCUGCAACUUCUUGAUAGCCAAGAAUUGCUUUCAUCUGAAUACUCCAUCUUGACCAGUUCUUUCCAUCAAGUACUGGAAGAUUGGUGACAAAAUUUCCAGUUGCUUGAGCCAUAUUGCAGCAGAAAAAAUGGCUUGAUCUUUUGUAGCUCUUGAUACCAAAUGUUAACGAAAAAAACAGAAGAAGAAGUAUGAAGACAGAAGAAGAAUUGAAUGAGGAGAAGAGAGGAUGAGAGUUUCUCAAUGAAUGAGUUACUUCAUUAACAAGACAACAACCAUAUUUAUACAAGUUUCUAUAUAUGUCUAACUAACACUAACUACCAACUAGAAAUAGAAACUUCUCAACUAAACUAACUAACUAUUGAUUACAUUCCAAUAUUAUUAACACACCACACUUUCACUCUCUCUUGUCUCACUACUCAUCCAUUUGACUAAAUUAAAAGAGUCAUACCAAAGAGAGAGGCAUAAAAAUUGCCCAAUCACAUUAACCUAAAAAUCAAAAGAGAGAAAAGAAUAAAAAAAUAAAAAGAAAUCAGCUAGGGUUUCUUGCCAAGAUUGUCCUUGUUAUUAUGCAUCCAAAGCUUGAGAACAUUUAUCUUCACACAAUUCUUAGCAUAAGACUUUUCCACUACAACUUCAUGGUCUUUCUCAAUUCUCCACCCAAGUUGUUCUGGAAAAGCAAACAUUUUCUCCUUAUGCUUCCGCUUGAACUUAGUCCUACACUAUUGGAAUGCUUGAAAUAUAUUAGAUGAAUUAUAACUUAUAAUCUUUAUUCUAUUAGUAAUUGUUUUACGCUUUCCGAACCUAUGGUCAAAUUUCUUUAACAAAUUCUUGUCUUUUGGCCAAACUCUGCUAACAAUUCUUUUUAUCUUUUCUAUUUAUUUCUUGCUCCUUAAUUGAUUGUUUGUGAUUAAUUUUAUGCAAUGGAUGCUUCCGCUGCCGCUACUUAGAAUUGGCAUAUCAUCCUCCCUACUCAUUCCCCAUUUGGGUGUCGCCACCGCAGGAAGAGCCCACGGCUGGUGCUGCGCCAUUGGUGAUACAAGAUUGUGGCGGAGGAGGUGGGUUAUGGUGCUGCUUGCUUUUCCCUCCUUAUUUCAAUCCUCCAACGUAACUUACACGUUCAAGUUAGUAUAAUAACCUGUUUAAUUGAAGAUUUAUUAGCCAAUUGCUUUACAUUAAAAGAAGCAACGCAAAGAAAGGAGUAAAUUAUACUUGGAGCAAUAAUAUCCCGGGUAAAGCGGAUUUUAAUAGCAUUAAUCAAACAAAAAGGAGAUUUGGCUUGUACGGUGUGGCAUCAAGUUGCUACAAACUUUACAAGUCAACUUAUUCUAAUGAAUCAUAUUUUCUUCUUAGUUAAUCAUAUUUUCCUAGGAAUCUAACGCAAUUUGCAAUCUAAUUCAAGAGGGAGGAAAUAUUCUUGUGGGAAAGCAAAUCAAAUGUCUGCUAAGAUACUAACCUUCCAUUAUUAAUAUCAUCCCACUAAUAAUAUUGAUACAAUGGUAUAAUGACUUAACCCAUAAUUCAAUAAUUUAACUGUAUUUAUAUUUAUUAUAAUAAAUAUCAUAAAAUUAUAAUAUAAAUAAUAUUAUUUACAACAUUUAACUCAAUUGUUAUGAUUAUUUAAUGACUGAACAUGUUGCAAAAUGUGAAAAUUUAUGUACCAAAAAAUAUAUGAAAAUAUGAAAGAAAAAAAAUAAUAGUGUAAAUCAGUUUGACCCUUACGUUACUAUACGAUUUGAUUUAUAUUUUAUGAUUUUUGACUAAUUUAAUUAUAUUUCCAAUAUUAUCAUCAUACAUAUAGAUAUCAGAAUAUGUUUUUAAGUUGAAUGGGAGAGUAUCAUAUUAUCUUUAAGCGAUUGGCUCAACCUUUCAUUCAAUUUGUAGUUGACCUCAUUGUCAAGCCUUGUAUACCACUAUAUAAAAUUGAUUCUUUGUGAAGGACCAAAGCCCCACAUACCGUGUGCCAAGUUGCCUAGAAACUUCUAGCAAACUUGCAAAACGCUCUCAUAUGGACUUCUUGCCAACUAAGGACACGUCACUAUCAUUAUUCCUUCAAGACUUAAUAUGAUUCAUUCAAGACUUAAUUAAGAAUCAUGUGUAAUUGUCAAGGAAAUAAUCUCAUUCACAUUAGAAAGGGAAAGGGAAAAUGCUAAGCAUUAUGUCUAGUUUCUCUAAUUUUCCUCCUUCCAAGUUUCCAACUCAUUCCAUUUACAGCCACUGAAUCCCAAAUGUUCAAUAAUUCGAUUCUUAGGAAUGACAUUUGUUGAAAGAAUAACCAUAUAUUCUAAAAGAAAUUAAUUUCUUAUCAUAAAAACUGAAAAGUUAUUCUUGAUAGUACCAAAAAAAUUUCAUACAGAAAUAAAAGGAGGAUCUAAGGUUUAAUUUUUGGUUAGAUUUGCACCAAAAAUUUCUCCCCAAAUCCACUACCACCUCUUAAUGACUUCAGAGAUAACAUAUGAUUUGUUAAGCUGGUAAAGUUUUUUCUUCAAACCACAUUGUGUGUUCAAUGACAAACUAAAGCCAAGAUUUGCUUGUAAAACAUAGUGACAAAAAUCUUUAUAACCUAAUAAUAUUUGUUAUACACACGCCAAAUCAAGAAUCAAACAAAUGACCAUGUAUUUAAGGGAUUCGAAUUCUUUCUACUUGAACCAAUAUUGAUAAUAUGUCUAUCUAUUUUCUCACAUAUACCAUACUCAACUAAAUCAUUUCUUACAGAAAUGAUUGAAACAUUCACAUUAAAUGCCAAUCAUAAAAUUGUAGUCAUAAGCACGUCCUUUGUAUAAAGAUGUUUUUUAAUUCUAACCAUAAUGUUAAUAUGUACAUGAACACAUAUAUAAAAUUAAUUAUGAUCAAUUAGUAAAGAUAUUGAAAUACAGUAUUCAUUUCAUUGUAAUAUAUAACUAUUCCUAUCAUAUAAUAAAAGCUUUUGCAUCAGCAAAGCAACACAAUUUCAGCCUGUAUUCUCUAACUCGUUUAUUCACAUAUGUUCUAUACAUUGUAUAGGGACAAAACUUAUAAAGAAAAACCAAAAAAGAGAAAUAAAACCAAGACCCUUUUGUAUUUCUUAUCUGUUCAUUCAUCACUUCAUUACAAAAUAUCUAAGCAAAACUUAACUUGAAACCUCAUCCAAAAGCUUGUACCUUCUGACCUUAUUCCUAAAAACAUGUUUGGUUGCACCACCACUUUUGUUUUUGAUAUCUUCUGACUUAGUCCUCCUCAGCUUUUCUUCCAAGGCACCAUUGGUGAUAAUCCUCUUGCGUGUUGAAAUCAAAACUGGUUGAGAUAUUGGUGAUCUUGCCUCUUGUGACUUGUGUAAUUUCAUGGUUGGUUUCUUCUGAAAUUGAAGGGUACUAGUACUCCUUCUUAAUCCAUUCCUGCUUUUUUUAUUCUUAUUGCUAUCAUCAUUACCAAUGUUCCUAUAUGGUGAUGAAGAAUUUGAUGAGUUUGGUGACUUUUCUGAUUCCUUCUGAUACAAACACCAAUUGCAGGUUCCUAAAGACUCUAGUUUAGGG